Molecule: ribosomal RNA, 497 nt
Filed under: uncultured bacterium
Lineage: Bacteria
Description: bacterial SSU rRNA
Rfam family: Bacterial small subunit ribosomal RNA
Source: RNAcentral
AGUAGUUUGAUCCUGGCUCAGGAUGAACGCUAGCGGCAGGCCUAAUACAUGCAAGUCGAACGCUCAGUAGCAAUACUGGGAGUGGCGCACGGGUGCGUAACGCGUACACAAUCUACCUCUAAGCGGGGGACACCUCCUGGAAACGGGGAUUAAUACCGCAUAAUAUGCCGAAGUCGCAUGACUUUGGUAUUAAAGCAGCAAUGCACUUAGAGAUGAGUGUGCGUCCCAUUAGGUAGUUGGUGAGGUAACGGCUCACCAAGCCUAUGAUGGGUAGCCGGUCUGAGAGGAUGGUCGGCCACACGGGCACUGAGACACGGGCCCGACUCCUACGGGAGGCAGCAGUAAGGAAUAUUGGUCAAUGGUGGAAACACUGAACCAGCCAUGCCGCGUGGAGGAAUAAGGUCCUACGGAUUGUAAACUCCUUUUGACGAGGAAGAAAAUGUUAGAUUUAUCUAAUUUUGACGGUACUCGUAGAAUAAGCACCGGCUAACUCCGUG